Molecule: ribosomal RNA, 48 nt
Filed under: Suillus bresadolae
Lineage: Eukaryota; Fungi; Basidiomycota; Agaricomycetes; Boletales; Suillaceae
Also listed under: 16 other names
Description: partial 28S large subunit ribosomal RNA
Source: RNAcentral
UGACCUCAAAUCAGGUAGGACUACCCGCUGAACUUAAGCAUAUCAAUA